UGAUGUCGUAAUGGGGUGUUGUGAUGUCACUAUGGGGUGUUGUGAUGUCAUUAUGGGGUAUUGUGAUGUCAUUAUGGGGUGUUGUGAUGUCAUUAUGGGGUGUUGUGAUGUCGUAAUGGGGUGUUGUGAUGUCGUUAUGGGGUAUUGUGAUGUCAUUAUGGGGUGUUGUGAUGUCAUUAUGGGGUAUUGUGUGUAGAUUGAUGAGAGGGAAAAAAACAAUUGAAUCCAUGUUAGAAUAAGUCUGUAACGUAACAAAAUGUGUAAAAAGUCCAGGGGUCUGAAUACUUUGCGAAGGUGCUGUAGGUUAUAGGGUGGACCCUUAUCCCGUCUCCACACAGGACAAUACAUUAGAAAUGUACAUCUUUCACAUUUAUGUGGCUUUUAACACUUUCCUCUGCAAGGGGACAUCCAAUGAAACCAUUGCCUUUUUAUAUAACUAGAGCCUGGCGUGUCUCCUGGUCAGGUCACAUGAUCAGGGAUAACUCUGGGGCCCCAGUUAACUAUAACAUAGUGUUGUUAGUGACUAGAUGUCGUGGAACAGUUUGGUACAGUAUCUGUGCUUCUUUAAAUGUCUUUUUUUUUUUAUUCGAUACAUCUAACACUUAACAGUCUUUAGACAAUAGUUUAUUUUUAUUUUUGUAAAUGACCCUAACUCCGGAAAAAAAAAAAGAGCUUUGACUGCCGUGCUUCUGUGUUUCCAUGGCGACGUGUUGGCCCAGUGUCUUGUUGCCGUAACGUUACUGUACUGAAUUGUGUUGUAGUUGACUGACAAAUCUUUAAAAGGUUUUUGCCCAGGAAGAUCCUAUGACCAGUAUCUAUCUUCCCUACUGUCUCUAACUGACCUGUAUCUAUCUGUCCUACUGUCUCUAACUGACCAGUAUCUGUCCUACUGUCUCUAACUGACCAGUAUCUAUCUGUCCUACUGUCUCUAACUGACCUGUAUCUAUCUAUCCUACUGUCUCUAACUGACCAGUAUCUAUCUAUCCUACUGUCUCUAACUGACCAGUAUCUAUCUAUCCUACU
Oncorhynchus tshawytscha (Chinook salmon) is the source of this 1023-nucleotide long non-coding RNA. NCBI's taxonomy places the organism in Eukaryota, Metazoa, Chordata, Actinopteri, Salmoniformes, Salmonidae. The record is from Ensembl.